This 276-nucleotide ribosomal RNA is filed under the name uncultured prokaryote. Its description in RNAcentral is "partial 16S ribosomal RNA". It matches the Rfam family "Bacterial small subunit ribosomal RNA", at positions 524 to 798 of the family's 1533-position model. The record is from RNAcentral.
UACGUAGGGGGCUAGCGUUAUCCGGAAUUACUGGGGCGUAAAGCGCGUGUAGGUGGUUCUGUAAGUAGGGCGUGAAAGCUCCCGGCUCAACUGGGAGAGGCCGUUCUAAACUGCAGAGCUAGAGGAUGGUAGAGGGAGGUGGAAUUCCAGGUGUAGCGGUGGAAUGCGCAGAUAUCUGGAGGAACACCUGUGGCGAAGGCGGCCUCCUGGACCAUUCCUGACACUCAGACGCGAAAGCUAGGGUAGCAAACGGGAUUAGAUACCCGCGUAGUCCCU